GGUCAAGAAAACUUGCAAGAAAAACUGUUUUAUAUUUUUUGUAUUUUUACUGAAAGGAAGAUUGUUUCUUUUCCUGGUAGUGUCGUCAGGUAUAUUUCUGAUCUUUGGUGAGUAAAUUUAAUGAGCGAGAAUGUCUAGAUGUGCUAAGAUUAUUAAUUUAUAAUCGAAUGUCUGAGAUACCAGACACAUACUGUAUUUUCCAGUACAUAUGAGUUUUUUAUAGUAUAGAUAAGUAAUAGAUUUGGCCACUGUGUGACAUCAAAUUAUUAAUACUGUAGAAAUGUUUCUUUAUGAAAUAUUAUUAAUACUAAUAAUAAAUAUAGCUUUCCCUUUUAUACAUCCCUUGGGCCUCUUCAUGUUUUGUGGGGCUUCCUGUUACAUAAUACGCCUUUUCUUCAUCUUACCAAGUGGGGCAAACACAGAAUAACAUUACCAUUUCCCUAGGGACAAGUAUUAAAUAUUUAUGCCAAGUUGAUGCAUAUGUAAUAUUUGCACAACUGAUAAACAUAAAUAUAAUACAACGUAUUGUUUCUUCUAGAAAUCAGUUUGGUGUGUGCCAAACUGAUGUAAAAACAUAUCCUUCUUGUAUGCCGAAUAUAUUUGUUGCAACACCCCAACUUUCCACCAUGGCUAAUUGUUAAUUUAAAUUUCGGGCAAAAAUUAUCAACCCUCAGCGGGCCUCAGGGCUUGAAAUAACGUUCCCAAAGUUCCCGAUCAUGGUGAUCACAGGCCUUAAAAUGUAUUUUACAGGGCCGUCUGACAAAAUGUCCGAUGACGUUGAGUUUGGGUCGGACAUAUAUCAGAUGACCUUCAGUUCAGUUUUGACUCGGAAAUAAUUAGUCUGAAUACAGGGGUUUCAGAAUAAGCCGGCGACCGGCGGAGUUCCGCCGGCUACUUGAACUUUUACCGCUGGCUACUUUUCGUCUGGUCACAGGGAAAACUUAUAUACAAAGGUACAAGCAAACCAACACGAUGUUUGUUAUAUUCCAAUUGGAAUUCAAGCAAAACAUCACUUAUUUUGGAAGAUCAAUAAGAUCAAUAAUAUAUAGUACCAAACAUAGCUUGCUUUCCAAGACUAAGACUAAGAUAACUCUGAUUGACUCUGACAGUGACUUAAGCAUUAAUUGCCAUUGGGGAAUCCAAAUUUGACAGUGAGCCAGAGAACCUUCAGAGCCACUUUGGUAAAUGUUUUUGGCAACUAAGUGACUAAUUCUUUGACAACGAAUUAAUUAUAAUGAUAAUGUGAUGAAGUAAAAAAUUCUGGGCCGUAGCGAGGGGGGUUUAGCCCCCCCCCCCAACUUUUUUAGAAUUAACAUAUUCCGAAAAUCUGGUUGGCCAUUUGGAAAAUUACGGCAAUAAUAGUAUAACAAACUUUUAGUUGUUAAACAGAGAAAAUAUAAUAAUUGUAUUGUCAGUAUAAACUGAUUUACGAAAUCCGGCAUAGCAUUUACAUGGAUAUUAACAUUUAACAAAUCGUAAAUCGGUAAAUAUGCAUGCAUACCUUUAUCAUUUAAAUAAUAUACCUUUAAAAUACUGACAAUUGAUUAAUUUUAAGCGGCUACAUUAUCCAUGACAAACUGCAAAGAAUCAUGAUAUUACCCAUACUUUCCUGCAACUUCUCCAUGCAUAGGCGUACCGGGCGGGGGGGGGGCGGUAGCCCCCCCAGUUUUUUGGGCAGUCGGGCAAUAUUCGAUCAACAGUCGGGCAAUUUUGGCUUGCAAUAAAAAAAUGGGACAAAUUCUGUCAAUUUUGUCUAAAAUUAAGUCAAUUUUUUGGCAAAUUUUGCGAUUUUUCGAAAAUUUGUGUUAUGUUCCGAAAAAAAUUGGUUGUCCGGAAAAAUUUUUUGACCCCUAAAAUGGUACACUGACCGAAAUUUUUUUGGCGACAGGGGGGGGGGAUUUUUUGAUACUAGUCGGGCAGAAUUCGAAAAGUUGGGCAAUUUUCUUUCCGCCCCCCUAAUUUUUUCCUUCCGGUACGCCCAUGUCUCCAUGCAAUAUAUAGUUAAUUACAUACGCCUUCGCCCAUUUAGUACUACUAAAUUGUAAACAAAUUGUAAAUUUCGACAUACUAAUUAAAAACGCUGUUUUCUGACCAUCAGAAUUCUGUUCUAAACUUCCCCAAAGUCCAGGAAAUGGAAUUUCAGAGACUCUAAAUUAAAAAAUUUCCUCGAGCCUUCGGCCCUCGUUCUCAGCCCCUAAUCAAAAAGAGCUUCCUACAGCACUGCAUGCUACUCAGCUACUGUAAUAUGUCUGUGCGUAGAUAUGCAUAUUUUUGUUUGUAAAUUGCAUCUUCAUUUUCCGGACAGCAAACACUUUGAUUCGUGAUUAAACUACAAGUAGCACAUUAAGGUGGCUCGAUACAGUUUUCAGAAAUUCAGGUGUUUAACACUUUGACAUGUUCAAACUACGCAUUUUUAGGAUUUAUUCGGCAGAUAUUGGGUUUUUUAUAUAUUUUGAUAUCUCUACUUUCAAAUUAUACUAGUUAUAGUAACAGAUAGUUCGUUGCUAUGACGACAUACGUGUACGAAAUUCACUCCAAAAUGGCCUCUCUUCUCGUAUAGUUGGGAAAAAAGCUUGGUGACCCCCAAUUUUUUUUCUUGCAUUAUUUUACUUAGACGAAAAGCUAACAAUUAGCAAAAAAUAAAAAAAUUCUGUAAUGCCAUUUUUUUGGAAAAUGCGAAAAUGUCAUAUUCUUCUGUAAAUUUUUUUUGGCAUUACAGAAUUUUUUUAUUUUUUGUAGGAUGAAAGUUUUUAGCGAUGCAAUACCACAGGGGGCCCCACUAUGAGUUAUGAUUGAAAUAAUAUUGUAUUUAUUUUUAAAAACCUGUACUUGAAUCCCUUGAUAAUCGAUUAUUUCUUCUCUCGAAAUUCUGUAAACAUUUUAAACUGCUUGGAGUCAUUAUACUAUCACUCUACAUGAAGUAUAGAUGAUCGAUAGUAUAAUGACUCCAAGCAGUUUAAAAUGUUUACAGAAUUUCGAGAGAAGAAAUAAUCGAUUAUCAAGGGAUUCAAGUAAGUUUUUAAAAAUAAAUACAAUAUUAUUUCAGUCAUAACUCAUAGUGGGGCCCCCUGUGGCAAUACUGCAUGCAAAAUUUGAACAUAGGUCACCAGACAAAAUAAAGAGAUAUAGCGCAUUGUUUUUCUAAAAUGGAAAAUUCUAAUGACGUCAGCAAUUGAUAUAAAACGCUAUAGAACACGCGCAAUGGCCUGAUAUGGCGUGAGCAACUGCUCACGUCAAGUCAUUUUGGAAGUUCUUUCAUUUUGUUAAUCAGUUUCCGCGACCUGCGCGUAAAAAUUGUUACCCGGUUUUGAGUUUCCAUGCGAGGGCACGCCCCUCCCCCCUCCCUGCGCGUUUUUUUAACUAUCAGUGUCAGCCGGCUACAACCGCUUACUUUUGGUACAACCGCUUACUUCAAAUCAUUCUGAAACCCCUAUGAAUGCCGACAUAAAUGAAUAUCAGCAGAAUGUAUUAAUUCUGAACGGUAAAUGUUUGUGAAGAUAUCAAAUAAUUUGUUUCUUUCAUACUUAUUUCCAAGCCAAAAUUAACUUGCUUUCCAGAACAGCAGAGUAAAAGACUUAGACAACUUAAGCCCGUUUUCCACUUUACCAUGCAUUUCGCUCCCUGCCCCGCGCUCGACUAUUAACUACGUUAAAACAAAUUUCCAGUUCACCUUUUAUACAAUAGUACUCUGAUUUUCCAUUUAACAUACGAGCCUGAGAUAGGGUACAUUUUGAUUUACGUUGGACAAAGCUACAUUUUGGUCGGACACAAAUACGCUCAGGUCGGACAAAAAUAAACCUCACCGCUCACUUUGGUCAGACAGAAUGUCUCAGACUGGUGGUUUCCUCUCUACGUCGGACAAUUUCACGAUUGGGUCGGACAAUGUCCGUGACCGACCGAUAUUUUAAGGCCUGGGUGAUCGGCAGUAAUGACUUUCCCUGCUUUUUCAGGUUGGAAACCAUGCUUUUCUGCCGAUCAUAAGCAAUUUCUUACCGAUCGGUGAUCGGCUGUUAUUUCAAGCCCUGAACCCUAUUGAUUCCAUUAGACCAUUGAGAACUACUAAAACUGCUAUGAAUUUGUUCCCUUUGAAAUAAACAGUAUUUUUAAUUUUGUUUCUUUUAAUUUAUGAAGCAGUUAAGGACUGUUCACAUGAUCCUGCUUUACCGGGACAAGAUGUAUGAGGCAGAUGAUUUUGAUGUAUUAAAAUAAGUCAAACUGCAUGAUUCUGCAAAAUUACAUAAUUUUCAGCAAUAGAAUAUAGUAUAAUUGUAAAGGAAAGGUUGUUCAAGCAGCAAUAAUAAUCUUGAAGUUCUUGAACUGUGAGAUCUAAUUCUCUACAACAUUUGGGUUAUUUUAACUUGUGUUUGAAUUAAAUACACCAAGAUCAUCCCACCUUCCAUGCCGGCAAACCGGGAUAAUGCAAUGUACAGUAAACAGCCCCUUAGAAUCUAAAACAGCAUUUAGUGGAUGCUUGAUCCUCUAUUUAAGUCCUGUUUGCACUACGCUCAAUUUUUGGUGUAUGGCACAGAUAAAAUUGGAACCCAUACCAAAUUUAUCCAUGCUCAGCCUUUGUAAAUCUAUAAUAUACAGUAUACUGUAGGUAGUCUGAGCACGGAUAAAAAUGGUAUGUGUACCAAAAUUAAAUUAUAAGUGUAAAUAUUCGAUUUUUCGGAUACCGAAAAUACCAAAAAAAUAUCGAAAGUUUUAUCGAAAUUAUUUCCUGGUAAACUCUAGAAAACACGCGCAAAUAGUAAAUAAAUGUUGAAGUUUUUAACAUUCAUAAAUGACCAUAUUGUAGUAUUAGAUAAACUUCUGGUAUUCGAUUAGUUUCACGCAACUUUUUUUCUGUUUUUGACGCGGUAUACCAUUUAUUUUGCUGUUUGUGAUGCGGUAUAUAAACCCGCAUAUUUAUUGAACUACACAGUCGGAUAUUUUUUUCGAAAUCGAAAUUUUCCAAUCAUACCGCAACUGCGCAACAGCCUAGUAUGUACAUGUUGCUUUUUAUAUUCUAUGACUAUGUUAAUAUACUCUACGCAUACCAUGCAAAAAAGUACUGGGGUCUGGGGCCGGUUGUAUAAAAAAGUGAUUAACUGUUAACUAUAGUUAGUGGAAAUGUCAUCCAAUAAGAAGCGCGUAUUUGAGAGUUAAUCACUAUUUAACUACAAAACAGCGAUUAAAAAAGUGAUUAAGAGUUUCAGUGCUGGAAAAUGUCCGGCAGCGCCAGCAGCACCGCUGCCAGGAAAUGUUUAACAAAAUAUCUUAGCAGGAAAUUUUCUUGCACCUUGCAGGAUAUUUUUGUUAUCUUGUAUACAGGAAUGCCAUAUAAUGCACUUUAAAAUCAUAUUACAUUGAUUACACAAUUACUAGAUAUUACUAGAUUACACAAAAAAAAUCAUAUUACUAGAUUACAUUGGUAUCGAAGGAACUAGAUUCUGUUCCGAAAUAUCACUUACUCGAACCGUCCUGACCGCGUAGCUCAGUUGGCAGAGCAUUGGGCUAGCAUUCCAAAGGUCGUAGGUUCGAUUCCCACCGUGGCCGGGCAUAUUUUUCAAGCUCGCUCGGUGUGGAUAUACACUCAGAGUAACAUCACAAACAUCAUAUUAUUCACCUGAGUACUCAACACCAACACAGAAAGAAAAAGAAAAUCAUAAUUCACUUAUUGUUUGAAAAUUCCAAUUCGAGCAUUUUGCAAGUCGAGAUGUGCGGUAUCAUAGUCCACACGUUCUCUGAAAUUUACAUAUGCAGGACGUUUUAUGUAGUUGACUUACACAGGAAAUUUUAAUUUUUGAAUUUUGCUGCCAGGAAGAUACAUAUAUUUUCUAGGCCUGAAGAGAUUUAUACAACCGGCCCCUGACUGCAUGUCAAAUACUAAGAAAUGCUUAUUUUAUUUUAUUUUACAGCAUUUGAAUUUUGGAACAAUAAAAGUUAAAAUGUCUGGUAAAGUAAUACCAGUAAAAGUUGCGUUGAGGAUCCGACCACUCAUCAGUAAAGAAAUUAACGAUGGGUGUCGUGAGUGCCUUGAAGUUCUUCCAAAGGAACCACAAGUUAUAAUCGGAAGUGAUAAACCUUUCACAUUCGAUUAUGUGUUUGCUUCCACUUGUCAACAAGAAGAUCUGUACAACCAAGUGGUGGAGCCAUUGAUGGACACAUAUUUCAACGGCUACAACGUCACCAUAUUAGCAUACGGUCAAACAGGGUCCGGUAAGACAUAUUCUAUGGGUACAUGUGCAACAAUAAACACAUCAAAUGUUGACGAUGAGAUGAAUAAUGCUGUCAUUCCAAGAGUGAUUAAAGAAAUAUUUUCAAGAAUUGAAAAUCAAAAAGAAAAAUAUGAUUUUUUGGUGAAGGUUUCCUUUCUUGAG
Molecule: non-coding RNA, 6362 nt
Organism: Paramuricea clavata
Lineage: Eukaryota; Metazoa; Cnidaria; Anthozoa; Malacalcyonacea; Plexauridae
Source: the annotation of a GenBank genome assembly